GGGGACGUUACGGAUUCGACAGGCAUAGUUGAGCUUGAAUCGCGUUUCGUAGGUUACGUCUACGUAAAAACGUUACAGUUAAAUAUAACUGCUAAAAACACAAACAAUACUUUCGCUCUAGCUGCGUAAAAACAGCGGGUGAAGAUCCUCUCGGCAUCGCCCAUGUGCUCGAGUAAGGGUCUCAAAUUAAGUGGGAUACGCUAAAUUUUUCCGUCUGUAAAAUUUAGAAGAGAUCAUCAGACUAGCGAGAGUUUGGGCCUGUUAUGCGGCAUAAGCUUCAGCGAAACCUUAAAAUAGUAUGACUAUGAACGUAGAAGUUUAAGUGACAAUGUGUUUGGACGCGGGUUCGACUCCCGCCGUCUCCAUUU
This is a non-coding RNA of Enterococcus rotai, 368 nucleotides long. The record is from Rfam. Lineage: Bacteria; Bacillati; Bacillota; Bacilli; Lactobacillales; Enterococcaceae.